Suricata suricatta (meerkat) is the source of this 274-nucleotide long non-coding RNA. RefSeq lists it as uncharacterized. The transcript has 3 exons. Lineage: Eukaryota; Metazoa; Chordata; Mammalia; Carnivora; Herpestidae. The record is from RefSeq and is a predicted model, not a curated record.
CUUGACUCUUUCGCUGCCCCAGAAAGCUGUUCUUGUCCUCUCUUUAAUGAUGUAGGAGCUAGCAGCUCUGAUAUCUGUCAUUGAAAGGGAAAAAGAUUUAGAGAAGAAGAUAUUGCUUGAGGUCACAUACUCUAGAGCCCUCGAUGUCCUCCAAGAACUGAUGAGGUAGCUGAUAAAGGAAGUUCACAGCAAAGAGAUGCUGCCUCAUUUUAAGCUGGUGGAGCUGGAAGCUGACACUGCAACACCUCCCAGAGCAACUGAGAGAAGCUUAAGG